CUUAAAAAUUUCACACUUGGAGAAAAAGAGCCCGACCCGAAAACUCGAGCUCGAGCUCCUCCGAUCCUCCUCACUCGAACUCGCCGCCAUUGUAACACUCAUCGCCUCCUUCAUCUGGUCCUUCAUCUCACCGCCUCCCACUACGACGACGCCUGGGACGAAGACGACGACGACGUCCUCAUCGACUCCAGCUGCUGCCCUCCUCCGGCCAAACCCUAAUUCGUUGAUAUCGGCCCCGCAUUGUGCUCCGACGAGGACGAUGACAUCAUCUAGGCCCUUCUAAACGGUGCCAUUGCGUCUUACUGUCUCGAAUCGAAGCUUGGCGACUGUAAGAGAGCAGCGACGAUUCGGCGCGAGUGGCUUCUCAUCUCCGAUCG
This 377-nucleotide long non-coding RNA is filed under the name Rosa chinensis. RNAcentral's name for it is "sRNA RchiOBHm_Chr1g0342941". Lineage: Eukaryota; Viridiplantae; Streptophyta; Magnoliopsida; Rosales; Rosaceae. The record is from RNAcentral.